Molecule: long non-coding RNA, 350 nt
Filed under: Pan troglodytes (chimpanzee)
Lineage: Eukaryota; Metazoa; Chordata; Mammalia; Primates; Hominidae
Description: lncRNA (ENSPTRG00000053305.1)
Source: RNAcentral
GUGGAAACCCAUCUGUUCCUCACCACUGGCGGAGACCACAAUCUGCAGCCAUGGAGACAGUGGAAUGUUCUUCCUACAGCUAGAUCCAUCUGCCCUAGAAGAGGGGGCAAACAAGGAAAACAAAGCUGCAAGCCCCGAAGAAUAUUAACAAGAGAAUAAGGUUUCCAGAUUUAACAAAUAAAAAUAUAAAAUGCCGGCCAGCUUUUCACUGUGCCCACUGGUCACCCCUUGCUGGGCCUCCAUUGGCCUCAGUAAGGCUGGCCCAGGUACCCGCUGCCCUGCCUGGAACCCACCUCCCUAAGAAUCCUGACUGCCCCACAGGAACCAUGGUGAGGACUUGCUUGCCAGCA